UACGUAGGUCCCAAGCGUUGUCCGGAAUUACUGGGCGUAAAGAGUUGCGUAGGUGGUUUAUUAAGCAGAAAGUGAAAUCACACGGCUCAACCGUGUAAACAUAGUCUGAACUGAUUAACUAGAGGGCGAGAGAGGUAAUUAGAAUUUCGUGUGUAGGAGUGAAAUCCGUAGAUAUACGAAGGAAUACCGAUGGCGUAGGCAGAUUACUGGCUCGCACCUGACACUAAGGCACGAAAGCAUGGGUAGCAAACGGG
This 254-nucleotide unclassified non-coding RNA is filed under the name uncultured Patescibacteria group bacterium. RNAcentral's name for it is "contains 16S-23S intergenic spacer region". It matches the Rfam family "Bacterial small subunit ribosomal RNA", at positions 524 to 776 of the family's 1533-position model. The record is from RNAcentral.